Molecule: ribosomal RNA, 433 nt
Filed under: uncultured bacterium
Lineage: Bacteria
Description: partial 16S ribosomal RNA
Rfam family: Bacterial small subunit ribosomal RNA
Source: RNAcentral
AACGAACGCUGGCGGCAUGCCUAACACAUGCAAGUCGAACGAGACCUUCGGGUCUAGUGGCGCACGGGUGCGUAACGCGUGGGAACCUUCCCUUAGGUUCGGAAUAACUCCCCGAAAGGGGUGCUAAUACCGGAUAAUGUCUUCGGACCAAAGAUUUAUCGCCUUUGGAUGGGCCCGCGUUGGAUUAGCUAGUUGGUAGGGUAAAAGCCUACCAAGGCGACGAUCCAUAGCUGGUCUGAGAGGAUGAUCAGCCACACUGGGACUGAGACACGGCCCAGACUCCUACGGGAGGCAGCAGUGGGGAAUAUUGGACAAUGGGCGAAAGCCUGAUCAAGCAAUGACGCGUGAGUGAUGAAGGCCUUAGGGUUGUAAAGCUCUUUUACCCGGGAUGAUAAUGACAGUACCGGGAGAAUAAGCUCCGGCUAACUCCGUG